Molecule: RNA transcript, 1537 nt
Organism: Ricinus communis (castor bean)
Lineage: Eukaryota; Viridiplantae; Streptophyta; Magnoliopsida; Malpighiales; Euphorbiaceae
Exons: 5
Source: RefSeq, a predicted model, not a curated record
UGUAUUAAACUUUCCUUUUUAAUUUUUCUAUUACUUUUUUCAAAGUUCUUAUUUAUUAGUCGUUUUAAUAAUUUCUAAACAUUUUUAAGCAUAGCUAUUAUAAAAAUGUUAGGCAUGUGAUACUAUGAUUGGAUUGGAAAUUGAUGCUUGUUAAAUUUGGUCCAUGUUUGAAGAUUAAGCUCGAAGUACACAAGGAUUGGGUUGGCACAAGCGAUAUUGAAGGCUGUUUAGAGUUUAAAUUGGAGAAUUGAUGAUGAGUUUGGAGCUAUCAACUCGAAGAAUUACAUUGUUUGAGGAUGAUUCUUGGGCUAAUUAUAACUUUCUUAUUUAUGCAGCGAUGACCCCAUGGAGGGUGGGCAAACUGCUACUGGUGCAUUAUUAGAUUACAUCAUAGAAAACCAUAUUGCUUCACCUCGUCUCGCAAACUGUGUUGCUUCUCAAAUUAGGAUAUCAGUUCCGGCAUAUACAGAUUUAAUUAAAUUAUAUUUUUACGCAGUACUACGGCUUAAGUGAUUCCCAAAGUUGUUAAAGGCACACCUGGGGUGCAAGGUGCACGAAGCACAAGCCCUAGCACCUCAAAUGCUAAAAGGGUUUACUUUUAAUUCACAGGUUUUUUAGUGUAUCACUUGUUCUAUUCUUUGUUUCAUUGCAUUCUUCAGCUGGUGGAAUUUCAACAUUCAUUACCAAGGGUACAGUUUCCAUAUCCACCGAACUAAAGGAGGAUUUAAAUAUUGAUGUUAGUCAAACUGAUUCUCCUAUGGGUUCUGGCGAUUGGGGUAACCAUGGAUGGUUUUACAUUUCUGUGAGAAUUGGUUUAUUUCUCUGGGUUGCUCUGCUUAAUCUUAUUACUAUAUCUUCAACUUGGGCUAGAGUAAUUGAUGUGAUGGAUAGUGAGUAAGGUUCAAGACUGUUUGGGUUCAUAGGUGCUGGUGCUACACUUGGACAGCUUUUUGGAUCAUUAUUUGCCACAGGAAUGGCUUGGUUUUUCAAUCAUAUGAUAUAAAGCUUCCACAUUUUUAUUUAUCUUAUGUUGCUUUAAACCAUGGGCUGGUUCUUUGUAGUUCUACUUUUAUUUGCGGCUUUGUUGAUGGAACUUGCAGCACAGGCAUCGAAAGGAAUUAAGAAAGAUAUGUUUGAACUUCCUGAAGAAUUAUCUCCUAUAAAGGUCAUCUAUCUUUUUGUAUUUCUUUGCUUCAUGUACUAUGUGUUAGUUGCUAUAAGUUGAAUAUUUGUAUAGUUGGGAGUUGCCAUAGGCACUGAUCCAUUUAUGUGAUUUGCUCUGGAAUGAGUACCUAAUGUUGAGAUUAACAAAUUACAACUAGUUGCUAAAAGCAUCUUGAUAGCUGCAGAUGAGAUUGUGUAUUGUAUCAUAUUUAUAUAAUAGAAGACAUGUCAAUGCAUGCACACAUGAAUGAGCCAUGGCUUGUGUCUAGUGAUUAGUUGUAUAGUCUAUCCGUCCAUAUGUAGGUCUUGUCCUAGAUGCAUCUGAAACCUUUCCUUUCAACAAUAUAUGGUGAAAUGAUCAUGAAUUUUAUUU